CAGUCGGCUGUAAAGAAGGAAAAAGUUGUAUCAAUACGGCCUCACGUUCUGUUCUUGUAGCACCAUCAAUCCAGGACUAGGAAUGCUAUCACUGUGAAGCCUCUCUAUAUUUGUAUCCAUGGCUUUGGAGUGCUGUUCCUGGCGUUUUAAUGCCCUGCUCCACUGAUCAUCAUAAUUCAUAAAGUUCACCUGUCAGCAAAGCCCUCUUUCCCAUCAGAAUGAAUAUAAUGGGAGGGAUGGAGGAAGAGAGGGAUGUACAACGUGCACAAACUUGAAUAUGUGGGAGGAAUGUGUGUUUGCAGUGAUGUGGUGACCUAUUGCCAAAAGUCUCUACUUUCCCCAUUUGUCCUGAUUGUGACAGUCUUCACCCCCCAUGCAACGUAUCCUGUCCUAGUGGAUUUAAAUGUAGGGAUUUUUCAUACAUUUCUGCAGGCACCGCCUGUUGGAUUAAUUCUUAUGGGAAAAACUGCUUCUCUUCCCACUGAAUUCCUGGCUGUCACAAUUUUGGAGAAGGUGUCCUUGGUAGCCAGUGAGUCUAGCAGUGCCAGGCCAGUGGGACACAGCAGGACAGAGGCUGAAGCCAUCUGUGUUUUCCUGCUGCUGUGUCCAGUCCCGGGAUGGGUUUCUGGGUAAACUGUGACACUUCACAAGCACUAAGACAACCUGAGCCUAAACUGCUUCCACAUGCUGGGCUAAUCCUGUCAUGUGUCACUUGGCAAGUUACUGUUUCCUACAGGAAGUGUUGGCUGAGAUUUAGGAAGACAAAAUAUAAUGUUUAAUUUGUUUCAGUCUAAGGACUUAAAAAAUUCUGAGAAAUAAGUGAAAAGUAAAUUCCCACUUUUUAGGCUUUGCUCCACUUCUCUAUUAAAUCGAUUUGAUAGCACUGCUGAUGCUUGUGGGUAAGGCUACAUGAUGAAGAAAGACAAUUUUUCUUCCACAUAAGAAACUAAGUUAGUUUGAACUUCUUUUUAUCUAGUGGUUUUCUUCUGCUCAGGUCUGCAACUUGAUAAGAAAUAAGGUCCUCCACACCUCUCAACAUCAAAAAUUCUCAUAGCAUCAGAUCUUUUUCUGUAAAGAGACUGAAGACAUUUACAGUUAUCCACCACUUCGGGUUAUAAAGUUUGGAGGCUAGGACUUUAUUAGAGAGGGGAAAACGGUAUCUUCAAGUGUCCUGUGAAAACUUCAUUGUCAAGACUUUGAUUUUAUUUUGCAUUUCUCUUCCAUGCUGCAUUUCACACCAUUUGGUUACUAUGUUUCAGCUUUUGGUUCAUAAGUAUGCAGCACAUUCCUUACAUUUUUGCCAAGACUUUGAUGAAAAAACAAAUAUAUAGAUUUUAAAUACAUAGUUAGAUUUCAGCUGUAAUUAAUUUUCCUGAAAUAUAAAUGAUGUAGAAUUUUUCGCAGAUCCUAAAAAACCAAAACAAGCCAUAAACAUCAGGAUUUUAAGAAGCAUGAUCAUUGACUUUCUAAUUAAAAACAUCUUCUGUCCAAUGAAUAGUUUCCCUUGUCCUCCUAACAAAUAUUGCAGAGUAUUCCUUCUAAAUCAAGAAGCCAUUUGAAACUAUUGAGGCUGAUCAAAAAGAAAAUACAGUGUGAGAAAAAUUCUCUUGAUGGUUGCAGAGAUCUUACUCUCGUAUAGGAGCAGUUUCUCAUAUUUUUACGAUCUUACACUUGAAAUAGUUCUACUAUCUCCCAGAAAGCAUUUGUUACUAUGCAACACCAGUGGAGUGUAAGGAUCUGGUCCCUAAAGAGAGUAUCUUCACAAGCACUCACUAUUUGGUGAGAAACUGGCUCAGAGCUUUAUGACGUCGGAUGCCCAGGACCACUUGGCAAUUGAGAUAAACAAAAAAGGCUCCAAGGAAUCCAGAACAUAUGCUAAAAUGGAGAAAAAGAAGUAAAAGCAUGACAAACAACAUCAACCAAGCAAAUGAGUUUAAGUGGUUUAAUCUUCAGCUGUUUGUGAAGCCUUUAAAAUGUCACCUAGAGGAUUACUCCUACAGCAGCUCCUUUGAAGAUAUUCCCUAUCUGAUGAAAGGGGAGAAAUUAUUUUGGACCUCUUUGUCAUACACACUACCAUUUUGCCAAUUUUCUCUUGCUGAGAGGGGGAAAUCUCAUCUAUAAAAAUCUGUUAAAAAAAUCCAUAAAAAGAGACUGACAGUUCUCAGUGGGGGCUCGUGAAGAGCAACUGGGCAAAGACCAGUAUUGUCAGUACUUAAACAUCAGGUUGGAAGAGCAAAUAGUAAAAAUGAAGAGAGUUAUAAGUCUGAUUCAGUAAAAUUAUAUACCUACAACAAAUACUAGUAGUAAUAGGAAUUCUUGUGCCUAAAGCAAAGUAUAUCAUCUCUAUGAUCCUAAUCACUUAGGCUUAUGUUCCUGAUCUUAAUAAAGUAAGAAAAAAAGUGUAGUUGUCUAAGAAUUGGUGUGAUCCUUAGGCUCUGUAGCUUAAUAAGACUUGGAUAAAUAGGGCCUAAUACUCGAAUGUGAAAUAAAAAAAAAGGAAGAGUGAAAAAAGACUGCAUUUAGAAUUGGUAAGGGGAAGCCUUAUUGUAUGUGGCAAGUAAUUAAUGCACAUAAUACAGAGGAUAAACUGUUAAUGUUUUUAUUCUAUUAAUUUCUAAAAUUAAUGGGCUUUUGCUUUGUUAUAUGUCACGCAUGUUUUUGCCAAAUCUCAUUUAAUGAUUAAUUUAGUGUACUUAAAACAUUGUAUGUUGAAAAUAAUCCUGCUUUAUAAUUUAAAAAUUGCAGAGAAACAUGCUUAAACUAAAUAGAAAGCUUUUCACAGAAAAACAUGUCCAAUGAAUUACUCUUAAGUAUUUUAACUGAUUAGAACAGUGUCUAAAAUAGACCAGUCCCUUAGGCAAUAUAAGCCUAAAGACUGCACCGUGAACUGAAUUGCUUUGUAAUACUUUAUAUUAAAAUAUAGAUCUCUCCAUUCAUGUCUAUCGAUUUAUCAAUAAACUGGAAGUGCUCCUCUUGUAUAGAUUAUGCAAAUUAACAUUUGCUGACACAGAAAAACAAGAUCUACCUAUUGGCAGUGCUUGCCCUACCUGAAAGUGAAAAAAUAUGUUGGGUAGAAGCAGAGUUCAACUUUGAGACUUAAGAGAAUUUGGAGCAUUCCAAGUUGGCAUCGGGACUUUAUCCAAGACUAUCCAAGUCUUUAGGGUUGUUUUUUAUUUUAAAUACCAUGUUGGACACCCAGGCAUUUGAAAGCAUUUUGCAGUUGUCAUAUAUUCCUUUCCCAGCCUAUGUGCAGGGCUGAAAAAUGCCAGCUCUGUCAACUCUGUCCAAAACAUGGUGACAAGAAGUUUUGCAUUCUAACAACCAGCUGUAAAUCGCAAGGAUUACAUUUUUUUCCUUGCCAAUCUAAACCAAUAGAUUCCGCCAAGUUCAUUAGGCAAGUCUGUUUAAGGGGAAGAACUAAGUGAAUACUUGUUACUAGCAAAAACUCCUGUGUAUUCAUAGAUUUUUCAAUAUAUAUGAUAUCUUCAAAAAAUCCCACUUGAGUUCAUAGUCAAGUAAAUUAAUAGGAGGGCAGCCUACUAAAAGAAGCUAAAAACCCACAAAUAUAUUUCUGGUCUUGAAUGCAGGUCUUGCAACAGAGUAUGUUCACAACACCAGCACAGGCUUUUGUUCCUAUAGUGUUUUCCUUUCAUUAUGCUCUGCAGUGACUUCCCUGGAGCCUCUCUCAAGCUCUAACCAAAGAUGUUUCCUCACAGUAAUUCCAUACUCAUCUUUUCUCUAGUAUUUCCCAAUUUUCCUUUUUUUUAAGUUCAUUCUUUCAUUUCCUCCAAAUUAACCAUUGUUCUUACUGAGUCCAAUUGCGGUUGGCUACCCUUGUCACCGUGUUGGGUGUACCAACCUCUCUCAAAAAGGAUAAUCAUUCUGACCUUGUGAAAAGGAAACUUCAGGUUAAAUCUUUUGUCCCAUUUUGGUCAUGUGAAAAGGGUACCUGUUGGAUCUGUUCUUUUGGGGAUAAUGUCAAAACAGUUAAAAGGCCAUUCAGUAAGUCUAUUCCCAGUACUUUGACCAACUUAGACUUACUUUUUUUUUUACCUCCAAGCUUAAUUUCUGAAAAAGAUACAUGGAAAGGAAAUAACAAACAGCUUGAUAAUACCUGUAUUUCCUUCCUUAGCUGUUGUGAUACGUGGACACCAUUUCUGAAGGAAGAAUUCCAACAAACAGAAACCCACUUUGUUACAACCAAAGUGACUAAAAGUGAUGUACGGAAACUUUUUGGCAGAAGAAUUCCUAACACAGAUCAUACUAUAACCUUCGUAGAGCAAGGAGUCAGUUUCCUGGGAACUUACCCUAUUAUAGCAAAUGCUGGCAGCUCUUGCAGAUCAAAGGGGAAAUCCAUACGGAAGUUUGUUCUGAACAGCGCUGUGAUGGUAACUGUGAGAGAAGAAAGGUAGAGGAGGAAAGAAAAUAAUGAGUUGAGAAGUUAAAGAUAAUAAAAGCUAGGGGUAGGGACAAGGAAACUAGUUUAUACAUGCUCCUGUGUGGUUUCCUGACAUUAUAUACAUCAUUACAGAUUGGCAGACUGCUCUGAUUUAGUAGGUCCUAUUUUUGAGCACUUGCAAUCCUAUGCAAACUCUAGAUAGCCUAGGUUUGUUUUCAGAAAAUGUAUGCUUUUUUUUUUUAGCUACAAUCCCUGAUUUUUUAAAGGGUUUUCUUUUCUUUCUUGUCUUCUACCGUCCAUUCCUUAUUAAAAAAAAAGCUCUUCCCAGUAUCUUUACUGAAUGAGAGGUCUCUUUGCUGAGGUGGGCAGUGCCUGCACAUCUGAAGAAGCUAUGUCACUUCUCAUAGUUGUGAUUGCCUUCCAGAAACAAGACACAGAUCCUCUCUGAAGUUACAGCUUCAAAAUUUUUGACUGGUACCAAAAAAAUGAAAGGCUUAGAAAUCAGAGAUGGAAAAGAUCAGCUUAGCCCCAUCUUCUCCAGCUCACCUCUCCUGGUAGUGCUGCCCUGCUACAAUGAAAUGUUAAAACCUGUCCUGCUUUUCUCUGUAGGUGCAUUAUUGUGUGGAAACAGUAAACACCUGUAUGCCAACAGGUGAAGGAUAAAUUAGCAAUUUAAUACAGGGUGGAAGUGCAGCUGGAUGAGGAUGGAUAUAAAUCCCAAAUUGCCCUUGAUGAAGGAAUUAUUUGUUCAAUGAGGAAAUAAAAGAAGCAGUGAAAAUCUAGCAUUAUAUGAUAAUAACAGGAGGCAUUGACUACUCGUUAUUUGAUCAUACAGAACUAGGUUUAGAGUAAUGAUUUAGUGAGGUCUCAGUGGGUUACAUUACCUAAGAUAGCUAAGCCUAAAACUACAUUCUACUAUCCAAAUUGGGAUGAUCUUUCUCCCUGUCUCUUCCCCCUGUUCCUUCCCUCCCGGCUGCGCUAUUGUUCUCCUCUCCCGUUGGGCCCACUCUGGCACAUCACAGCCUUCUGUGAGUUCCUUUGCCUUAUUAAAACCUGCCAGAAAACCUAUCUGCUCUUUCCCUGGGUUACUCCUCUGCCAAGGAAGUGAGUUGAAUCAAGGGGAACAACGAACGCAGAGAUGGUACAAGGCAGGGGUAGAAGAACAGUCAGGGAUGGAAGAUGAUGAAAAGCAGGAUGUCCUCUUUUUUGUUAGAUCAGCCCAAGAAAGGGAUCAUCUCAAUUUAGUUUAAGGAAACAGAUAGUCCAAGCCACUAAAUGGCAGAGCAUUAAAAAAGUAUAGUAGGGCCCAUUUUCAAAGAGUUUUGCCACAGGGCAGCAUAGAUGACCACAGAAAAGGGAAACAGUCA
Long non-coding RNA from Corvus hawaiiensis (hawaiian crow), 5766 nucleotides. RefSeq lists it as uncharacterized. Lineage: Eukaryota; Metazoa; Chordata; Aves; Passeriformes; Corvidae. The transcript has 3 exons. The record is from RefSeq and is a predicted model, not a curated record.